UACGUAGGGGGCAAGCGUUGUCCGGAUUUAUUGGGCGUAAAGAGCGUGUAGGCGGCUUUACAGGUCCGUUGUGAAAACUCGAGGCUCAACCUCGAGACGCCGGUGAAAACCGUAAGGCUAGAGUCCGGAAGAGGAGAGUGGAAUUCCUGGUGUAGCGGUGAAAUGCGCAGAUAUCAGGAAGAACACCCGUGGCGAAGGCGGCUCUCUGGGACGGUACUGACGCUGAGACGCGAAAGCGUGGGGAGCAAACAGG
RNAcentral lists this ribosomal RNA (253 nucleotides) under uncultured bacterium. Its description in RNAcentral is "partial 16S ribosomal RNA". It matches the Rfam family "Bacterial small subunit ribosomal RNA", at positions 524 to 776 of the family's 1533-position model. The record is from RNAcentral.